This 22-nucleotide microRNA is filed under the name Columba livia (rock pigeon). RNAcentral describes it as "cli-miR-1756a-3p". The record is from miRBase by way of RNAcentral. Lineage: Eukaryota; Metazoa; Chordata; Aves; Columbiformes; Columbidae. RNAcentral also lists the same sequence under 2 other names.
UCCAGUGAUUCACACCAGCUGU